UACGGGGGGUGCAAGCGUUGUUCGGAAUCACUGGGCGUAAAGCGCGUGUAGGCGGAGUGGUAAGUCAGGAGUGAAAGCCCAGGGCUCAACCCUGGAACUGCUUUUGAAACUGCCAUUCUAGAGUACGGUAGAGGGAAGGGGAAUUCCCGGUGUAGAGGUGAAAUUCGUAGAUAUCGGGAGGAAUACCAGUGGCGAAGGCGCCUUCCUGGGCCGAUACUGACGCUGAGACGCGAAAGCGUGGGGAGCAAACAGG
This 253-nucleotide ribosomal RNA is filed under the name uncultured bacterium. Its description in RNAcentral is "partial 16S ribosomal RNA". It matches the Rfam family "Bacterial small subunit ribosomal RNA", at positions 524 to 776 of the family's 1533-position model. The record is from RNAcentral.